RNAcentral lists this long non-coding RNA (1345 nucleotides) under Homo sapiens (human). RNAcentral describes it as "non-protein coding lnc-AMELY-17:1". The record is from RNAcentral. Lineage: Eukaryota; Metazoa; Chordata; Mammalia; Primates; Hominidae.
UUUCACCAUGUUGACCUGGCUGAUUUUGAAUUUCUGACCUCAUGUGAUUCUCUCACCUCAGUCUCCCAAAGUGCUGGGAUUACAGGCAUGAACCACUGCUCCUGGCCAUUCUUCAUAUUUCUGCUGACUCUUUUCGUUUUCCUGCAGAGAUAUUGCUGGAGCAUGACAUAUAAGAUUCAUUUCAAAAAGUGAAUCUGAGAAAAUAUAGAAGCUGUGACCUUAAUAGUUUACAUUAAAAAAAAAAAGACUACCAAAGUGUGGAUAAUUGCAAGGGGCAGAAGAGCAGUUAUAAUGGCCUUCAUCAAUGUUUGUCAACUACCCAUAGCAAAACCUGUCAAUGAAAUAAAUGUGGCAAAGCUUUUGAGUUGUGCUCAGUCUUUACUGAACAUAAGAAAAUUUUCAGCAUAGAGAAAUGCUACAAAUGUGAAGAAUGUGGCAAAGACUGUAGGUUGUUCUCAGAUAUUACUAUACAGAAGUGAAUUCAUACUGCAGAGAGAUGCUACAGACAUCAACAAUGUGGCAAAGCCUGAAAAUAUCUCAAAUGUUACUGAAUAUAAGAGAGCUCAUGCUGGGAUAUCUAACAAAUGCAAUGAAUGUGGCAAAACAUUUACCUGCUCCUCAACCUUUAUUAAACAAAGAGAAAUCAUACUGGAGACAAACCCUACAUAUGCGAAGAAUGUGGCAAAGCCUUUAAGUGCUUCUCUGACCUUACUAAUCAAAAGAGAAAUUAUACUGGAGGGAAAUCUUGCAAAUGUGAGGAAUGUAGCCUAUAGGUUGUUCUCAGAACUUGCUAAAUAUAAGAUAAUUCACACCGGGGAGAAACUCUACAAACGUGAAGAAUGUGAUGAAGACUAUAGUUGCUUCUCAGACCUUACUAAACAUGAUAAUUCAUAGUGGAGAGAAACCUUACAAAUGUAUUGAAUAUAAUAAAAGCUUUUAUGUGGUUCUCAGCCCUUAGUAAACACAAGUGUACAUCUGUGAAGAACAUAACCAUACAUCUGUGAAGAAUGUGGAACUGCCUUUACCUGCUUCUUCACCCUUAUUAACCACAAGAGAAUUAAUAUGGAAAAGAGACCUUCUGAAUGUGGAGAAUGUGGCAAAACCUUUAAGUGCUUCUCAGACAUUACUAAUCAUUAGAUAAUUCACACUGGAGAAAAACCCUACAAAUGUGAAAAAUGUGGCACAGCAUUGAGUUUUUCUCACACCUCAUUAGAGAAAAGAGAAUUCAUACUAGAGAGUAGAUUUACAAUUGUUAAAAAUGUGGAAAGUCUUUAACAAGUUCUCAUACUGUGUUCAACAUCAGAGUCUUCAUACCGAACAAAUGCAGUAUAAAGGUAAUGACUGU